UUCUACGUUCAUUUAAAAGAAAAAUAACACAUCAGUAUUGCAGUUACUAAACAGAUAAAUCAGUUUCAACAAAAUGGAGACCCAACAGAUGAGAAAAGAAAAAAA
This is a non-coding RNA of Pseudonaja textilis, 105 nucleotides long. The record is from RefSeq and is a predicted model, not a curated record. Lineage: Eukaryota; Metazoa; Chordata; Lepidosauria; Squamata; Elapidae.